Molecule: RNA transcript, 715 nt
Organism: Cebus imitator (Panamanian white-faced capuchin)
Lineage: Eukaryota; Metazoa; Chordata; Mammalia; Primates; Cebidae
Gene name: 40S ribosomal protein S19-like
Exons: 1
Source: RefSeq, a predicted model, not a curated record
GGAAAUUAUGCAAAGUGAAAUAUAUCAGAUGUAGACAGAAGAAUAAUACAUGAUCUCACUUAUACAUGGAAUUUAAAAAGUCAAAUACAUAGAAACAGAAAUCAGAACAAUGGUUAACAGGGGCAGGGAGGUGGGGUAUUUGAGGAGAUGUUGAUCAAAGAGUACAAAGUUUAAGUUGCAUAGGAUGAAUCAAGUCUAGAGAUCUAACAAACAGCAUCAUGACAACAGUUAUUCCCCUAUCCCCUCGCUGGCAGCCCGGAGGCCACACGAUGCCUGAAGUUACUGUAAAAGACGUGAACCAAGCAGGAGUUCGUCAGAGCUCUGGCAGCCUUUCUCAAAACGUCCAGGAAACUGAAAGUCCCUGAAUGGGUGAACAUCAUCAAGCUGGCCAAGCACGAAGAGAUUGCUCCCUACGACGAGAAAUGGUUCUAUACAUGAGCUGCUUCCACAAUGUGGCACCUGUACUUCUGUGAUCUAUGGGGGAUGUAAGAGAAAUAGCGUCAUGCCCAGCCACUUCAGCUGAGGCUCCAAGAGUAUGGCUGCCGGGUCCUCCAAGCCCUGGAGGGGCUGAAAAUAAUGGAUGGAAAAGGACUAAGAUGGAGGCCACAAACUGACACCUCAGGGACAGAAAGAUCUGGACAGAAUCGCCGGACAGGUGGCAGCUGCCAACAAGAAGCAUUAGAACAAACCGCUGGGUUAAAAAAUUGCCUCAUUC